AUACGUAGGGGGCGAGCGUCGUCCGGAAUUACUGGGCGUAAAGCGCGUGUAGGCGGGGGGACAAGUCUGAUGUGAAAGCCCUGGGCUUAACCUGGGAAGCGCAUUGGAAACUGUUUUUCUUGAGUACUGGAGAGGAAGGGGGAAUUCCCGGUGUAGAGGUGAAAUUCGUAGAGAUCGGGAGGAAUACCAGUGGCGUAGGCGCCCUUCUGGACGGUAACUGACGCUGAGACGCGAAAGCGUGGGGAGCAAACAGGAUUAGAUACCCUGGUAGUCCACGCUGUAAACGAUGAUCACUAGGUGUAGCGGGUACUCAUUCCUGCUGUGCCGCAGCUAACGCGUUAAGUGAUCCGCCUGGGGAUUACGGUCGCAAGACUAAA
RNAcentral lists this ribosomal RNA (377 nucleotides) under uncultured bacterium. Its description in RNAcentral is "bacterial SSU rRNA". It matches the Rfam family "Bacterial small subunit ribosomal RNA", at positions 523 to 898 of the family's 1533-position model. The record is from RNAcentral.